GGUCAAGCGAAUAAGAGCUAAUGGUGGAUACCUAGGCACACAGAGGCGAAGAAGGACGUGGUUACCGACGAAAUACUCCGGGGAGUUGGAAGCAAACUAUGAGCCGGAGAUGUCCGAAUGGGGCAACCCUGUAUACUACCUGUUGAAUAUAUAGACAGGAAAGAGCCAACCCAGCGUAACUGAAACAUCUUAGUAGCUGGAGGAAGAGAAAUCAAAAGAGAUUCCCUGAGUAGUGGUGAGCGGAAGGGGAAGAGCCUAAACCAGUUGGUUUACUGACUGGGGUUGUGGGACAGCAAUAUCGAAUCUAGAGGCUAGACGAAGCAGCUAAGUACUGCACCAAAGAAAGUGAAAGUCUUGUAGUCGAAAGUCAAAGGAUAGUAGCUGAAUCCCGAGUAGCAUGGGGCACGAGGAAUCCCAUGUGAAUCAGCGAGGACCAUCUCGUAAGGCUAAAUACUACUGUGUGACCGAUAGUGAACCAGUACCGCGAGGGAAAGGUGAAAAGAACCCCGGAAGGGGAGUGAAAUAGAACAUGAAACCAUAAGCUUACAAGCAGUGGGAGUCCGAUUGAACGGAUGACCGCGUGCCUGUUGAAGAAUGAGCCGGCGACUUAUAGGCACUGGUAGGUUAAGGCGAGAAUGCUGGAGCCAAAGGGAAACCGAGUCUGAAAAGGGCGAUAAUCAGUGUUUAUAGACCCGAACCCUGGUGAUCUAACCAUGGCCAGGAUGAAGCUUGGGUAACACCAAGUGGAGGUCCGCACCGACCGAUGUUGAAAAAUCGGCGGAUGAGCUGUGGUUAGGGGUGAAAUGCCAAUCGAACCAGGAGCUAGCUGGUUCUCCCCGAAAUGUGUUGAGGCGCAGCGGUAACGAUUAAAUCUGGGGGGUAAAGCACUGUUUCGGUGCGGGCUGGGAGACCGGUACCAAAUCGAGACAAACUCAGAAUACCCAGAGAACACGUUGCCAGUGAGACGGUGGGGGAUAAGCUUCAUCGUCAAGAGGGAAACAGCCCAGACCACCAGCUAAGGUCCCCAAAUCAUCACUAAGUGAUAAAGGAGGUGAGAUUGCAUAGACAACUAGGAGGUUUGCCUAGAAGCAGCCACCCUUGAAAGAGUGCGUAAUAGCUCACUAGUCAAGCGAUCUUGCGCCGAAAAUGAACGGGGCUAAGUGAUGUACCGAAGCUGUGGGAUUAAUAAACAUUAAUCGGUAGGGGAGCGUUCCGUAGUAGGAAGAAGCAAUAGCGGUAAGCAGUUGUGGACGAGACGGAAGUGAGAAUGUCGGCUUGAGUAGCGCAAACAUUGGUGAGAAUCCAAUGCCCCGAAACCCUAAGGGUUCCAGAGCCAGGUUCGUCCGCUCUGGGUGAGUCGGGUCCUAAGGCGAGGUCGAACGGCGUAGUCGAUGGACACAGGGUGAAGAUUCCCUGACUAUGAUAUGGGAGCAUGAAUAGGGACGCAUAAAAAAUAGCCAUACCCUGAUUGGUUUGGGAGACGGUUACGACCGUCGAAUGGUGAAAGAUAGUGACCAAGAAAAGCUAGUCAUGUGAUGAACAUAUUGUACCCGUACCCGAAACCGACACAGGUAGGGAGGUUGAGUAAACUAAGGGGCGCGAGAUAACUCUCUCUAAGGAACUCGGCAAAAUGGCCCCGUAACUUCGGAAGAAGGGGUGCCCACGAGAGUGGGUCGCAGUGAAGAGAUCCAGGCGACUGUUUACCAAAAACACAGGUCUCCGCAAACUCGAAAGAGGAAGUAUGGGGGCUGACGCCUGCCCAGUGCCGGAAGGUUAAGGAAGUUGGUCAGGGGUUCGCCUUGAAGCUGACGACCGAAGCCCCGGUGAACGGCGGCCGUAACUAUAACGGUCCUAAGGUAGCGAAAUUCCUUGUCGGGUAAGUUCCGACCCGCACGAAAGGCGUAACGAUCUGGAUGGUGUCUCAGAGAGAGACUCGGCGAAAUAGGAAUGUCUGUGAAGAUACGGACUGCCUGCACCUGGACAGAAAGACCCUAUGAAGCUUUACUGUAGCCUGGAAUGGUGUCCGGGCUUCGCUUGCGCAGGAUAGGUGGGAAGCGAUGAGAUAUUCCUUGUGGGGAAUAUGGAGCUAACGGUGAGAUACCACUCUGGCGAAGCUAGGAUUCUAACUCAUCUCCGUCAUCCGGAGAGAGGACAGUUUCAGGUGGGCAGUUUGACUGGGGCGGUCGCCUCCUAAAAGGUAACGGAGGCGCGCAAAGGUUCCCUCAGCACGCUUGGAAACCGUGCGGCGAGUGUAAAGGCAUAAAGGGAGCUUGACUGCAAGACCGACAAGUCGAGCAGGUACGAAAGUAGGCCUUAGUGAUCCGACGGCGCAGAGUGGAAUGGCCGUCGCUCAACGGAUAAAAGUUACUCUAGGGAUAACAGGCUGAUCUCCCCCAAGAGUCCACAUCGACGGGGAGGUUUGGCACCUCGAUGUCGGCUCAUCGCAACCUGGGGCGGAAGUACGUCCCAAGGGUUGGGCUGUUCGCCCAUUAAAGCGGUACGUGAGCUGGGUUCAGAACGUCGUGAGACAGUUCGGUCCAUAUCCGGUGCAGGCGUUAGAACAUUGAGAGGAGCCUUCCUUAGUACGAGAGGACCGGGAAGGACGCACCGCUGGUGUACCAGUUAUUGUACCAACAGUAGACGCUGGGUAGCCAAGUGCGGAGCGGAUAACCGCUGAAAGCAUCUAAGUGGGAAGCCCACCUCAAGAUGAGUGUUCUCAUCACUUGAAGUGAGUAAGGUCACCUGUAGAACACAGGUUCUUAGGCGGUAGGUGGAAGUGCAGUAAUGUAUGUAGCCGAGCCGUGCUAACAGACCGAGGGCUUGACCUC
Ribosomal RNA from Nostoc sp. PCC 7107, 2828 nucleotides. It matches the Rfam family "Bacterial large subunit ribosomal RNA". Lineage: Bacteria; Bacillati; Cyanobacteriota; Cyanophyceae; Nostocales; Nostocaceae. The record is from Rfam.